RNAcentral lists this ribosomal RNA (478 nucleotides) under uncultured bacterium. Its description in RNAcentral is "partial 16S ribosomal RNA". It matches the Rfam family "Bacterial small subunit ribosomal RNA", at positions 28 to 523 of the family's 1533-position model. The record is from RNAcentral.
GACGAACGCUGGCGGCGUGCUUAACACAUGCAAGUCGAACGGUAAGGCCCUUCGGGGUACACGAGUGGCGAACGGGUGAGUAACACGUGGGUGAUCUGCCCUGCACUUCGGGAUAAGCCUGGGAAACUGGGUCUAAUACCGGAUAGGACCACUGCCUGCAUGGGUGGUGGUGGAAAGCUUUUGCGGUGUGGGAUGGGCCCGCGGCCUAUCAGCUUGUUGGUGGGGUGAUGGCCUACCAAGGCGACGACGGGUAGCCGGCCUGAGAGGGUGACCGGCGACACUGGGACUGAGAUACGGCCCAGACGCCUACGGGAGGCAGCAGUGGGGAAUAUUGCACAAUGGGCGCAAGCCUGAUGCAGCGACGCCGCGUGAGGGAUGACGGCCUUCGGGUUGUAAACCUCUUUCAGCACCGACGAAGCGCAAGUGACGGUAGGUGCAGAAGAAGGACCGGCCAACUACGUGCCAGCAGCCGCCGCGG